GACAGAGGGGGCAAGCGUUGCUCGGAAUUACUGGGCGUAAAGGGCGCGUAGGCGGGAUGGCAAGUCGGUCGUGAAAUCCCUCAGCUCAACUGGGGAACGUCGAUCGAAACUGCCGUUCUUGAGGAUUGCAGAGGAGACUGGAAUUCCCGGUGUAGCGGUGAAAUGUGUAGAGAUCGGGAGGAACACCGGUGGCGAAGGCGGGUCUCUGGGCAAUUCCUGACGCUGAGGCGCGAAAGCGUGGGGAGCAAACGGG
Molecule: ribosomal RNA, 253 nt
Filed under: uncultured bacterium
Lineage: Bacteria
Description: partial 16S ribosomal RNA
Rfam family: Bacterial small subunit ribosomal RNA
Source: RNAcentral